GAUGAACGCUGGCGGCGUGCCUAAUACAUGCAAGUCGAGCGAACAGACGAGGAGCUUGCUCCUUCGACGUUAGCGGCGGACGGGUGAGUAACACGUAGGUAACCUACCUAUAAGACUGGGAUAACUUCGGGAAACCGGAGCUAAUACCGGAUAAUAUUUCGAACCGCAUGGUUCGAUAGUGAAAGAUGGCUUUGCUAUCACUUAUAGAUGGACCUGCGCCGUAUUAGCUAGUUGGUAAGGUAACGGCUUACCAAGGCAACGAUACGUAGCCGACCUGAGAGGGUGAUCGGCCACACUGGAACUGAGACACGGUCCAGACUCCUACGGGAGGCAGCAGUAGGGAAUCUUCCGCAAUGGGCGAAAGCCUGACGGAGCAACGCCGCGUGAGUGAUGAAGGCCUUCGGAUCGUAAAACUCUGUUAUUAGGGAAGAACAAAUGUGUAAGUAACUGUGCACGUCUUGACGGUACCUAAUCAGAAAGCCACGGCUAACUACGUG
RNAcentral lists this ribosomal RNA (497 nucleotides) under uncultured bacterium. RNAcentral's name for it is "partial 16S ribosomal RNA". It matches the Rfam family "Bacterial small subunit ribosomal RNA", at positions 28 to 507 of the family's 1533-position model. The record is from RNAcentral.